UACGUAGGGGGCAAGCGUUGUCCGGAAUUAUUGGGCGUAAAGCGGGUGUAGGCGGCCAGAAAAGUCCGCUGUGAAAACUCGAGGCUCAACUUCGAGCUGUCGGUGGAAACUUUCUGGCUAGAGUCCGGAAGAGGAGAAUGGAAUUCCUGGUGUAGCGGUGAAAUGCGCAGAUAUCAGGAAGAACACCCGUGGCGAAGGCGGUUCUCUGGGACGGUACUGACGCUGAGACGCGAAAGCGUGGGGAGCGAACAGG
This 253-nucleotide ribosomal RNA is filed under the name uncultured bacterium. RNAcentral describes it as "partial 16S ribosomal RNA". It matches the Rfam family "Bacterial small subunit ribosomal RNA", at positions 524 to 776 of the family's 1533-position model. The record is from RNAcentral.